UUUGACAGGAGGUUUAGGCCUCCUACCCUUGGUUGCUUUUUGUGAGCUUUUUUUUGUGAAUUUUAAUGGCAUGAUUCAUGUGGUUACAUUUUGAUUUGGGGGCAACUCUUGAUUACCCUAUCUUGUUUCUCUAACCUGUUUGUUGAGUUUUUUUGUGAGGGCUCACAUGACUCUUGCAGAGAUGGCCUGGUGUUCCACUUUAUU
RNAcentral lists this long non-coding RNA (204 nucleotides) under Lathyrus oleraceus (garden pea). Its description in RNAcentral is "Pisum sativum (pea) long non-coding RNA (PSAT_LNC010723)". The record is from RNAcentral. Lineage: Eukaryota; Viridiplantae; Streptophyta; Magnoliopsida; Fabales; Fabaceae.